RNAcentral lists this ribosomal RNA (484 nucleotides) under uncultured bacterium. RNAcentral's name for it is "partial 16S ribosomal RNA". It matches the Rfam family "Bacterial small subunit ribosomal RNA", at positions 29 to 507 of the family's 1533-position model. The record is from RNAcentral.
AUUGAACGCUGGCGGCAUGCCUAACACAUGCAAGUCGAACGGCAGCGCGGGAAUCGCCCUGUCUUCGAGUUGCCGACGGGCGGGUAAUUCAUCGGUACAUGCCCAGCAGCUGGGGCUAGGCCGGCGAAAGCCGGAUUAAUACCGUAUACGACCAUAGGGUGAACGGGAGGGACCAAAAGGUCUUGCGCCAUUGGAGGAGCCGAUGAGGGAUUAGCUAGUUGGUGGGGUAAAGGCUUACCAAGGCGACGAUCCGUAGCUGGUCUGAGAGGAUGACCAGCCACACUGGAACUGAGACACGGCCCAGACUCCUACGGGAGGCAGCAGUGGGGAAUUUUGGACAAUGGGCGCAAGCCUGAUCCAGCCAUGCCGCGUGGGUGAAGAAGGCCUUCGGGUUGUAAACCGCUUUUGUUCGGGAAGAAAACCUGUGGGAUAAUACCCCGGGGGGAUGACGGUACCGAAAGAAUAAGCACCGGCUAACUACGUG